AAUAUUGGUCAAUGGAGGCAACUCUGAACCAGCCAAGUCGCGUGAAGGAUGACUGCUCUACGGGUUGUAAACUUCUUUUUUAAGGGAAUAAAGUGAGCGACGUGUGGCUUUUUGCAUGUACCUUACGAAUAGGGAUCGGCUAACUCCGGGACAGCAGCCGCGGUAAUACGGAGGAUCCGAGCGUUAUCCGGAUUUAUUGGGUUUAAAGGGUGCGCAGGCGGAAUAUUAAGUCGGCGGUGAAAGUUUGCAGCUUAACUGUAAAAUUGCCGUUGAAACUGGUUUUCUUGAGUGUAUAUGAAGUAGGCGGAAUUUGUAGUGUAGCGGUGAAAUGCAUAGAUAUGUCACAGAACUCCAAUUGCGAAGGCAGCUGACCAGGUCCAUAUUGACGCUGAUGCACGAAAGCGUGGGUAUCGAACA
This 417-nucleotide ribosomal RNA is filed under the name uncultured bacterium. Its description in RNAcentral is "partial 16S ribosomal RNA". It matches the Rfam family "Bacterial small subunit ribosomal RNA", at positions 360 to 774 of the family's 1533-position model. The record is from RNAcentral.